Molecule: ribosomal RNA, 253 nt
Filed under: uncultured bacterium
Lineage: Bacteria
Description: partial 16S ribosomal RNA
Rfam family: Bacterial small subunit ribosomal RNA
Source: RNAcentral
AACGUAGGUGGCGAGCGUUAUCCGGAUUUACUGGGCGUAAAGCGUGUGCAGGCGGGGAACCAAGUGGUGUAUGAAAUUUCCCGGCUUAACCGGGAAGGGUUAUGCCAGACUGGUUUUCUGGAGUGCGAGAGAGGGGCGUGGAAUUCCGGGUGUAGUGGUGAAAUGCGCAGAUAUCAGGAGGAACACCGGUGGCGAAGGCGGGUCUCUGGGCAGUAACUGACGCUGAGGAGCGAAAGCGUGGGGAGCGAACAGG